This 1068-nucleotide long non-coding RNA is filed under the name Betta splendens (Siamese fighting fish). Its description in RNAcentral is "lncRNA (ENSBSLG00000013852.1)". Lineage: Eukaryota; Metazoa; Chordata; Actinopteri; Anabantiformes; Osphronemidae. The record is from RNAcentral.
CAUAUGCUCAAAAGUGACGAAUGAAGUGAAAUGUUGUGUUACUGAUAUAAUGAUACGUGGAGAUUUUUAUGGAGGCCAAAACAAAACAUCAAACCUUUGUGUGUGUUCACUGCGUGUACAGCUAAUGCAGUGUACAAAUAUUAUUAUUACCCAAAACACGACUUGCUAACACACACAAUGAAUAUUUGACUCACCCUGCAUGGAGAGAGGAAGCCAACUUUCACAUGGGCUCGACAGUGGUAGGAGUGCAAUACCCAGUUUGACCGCACGUUCAGCACGCUGCACUUGGAGGGGGCGCUGUUUCACACUUCAUGAAGGGGAAAGGGUCAGCAGUACAGAACUGGAGUAUUUAAAUUCUAUUCACGUGUGGAAAAUAUAAGAGUUUAAAAAGGAUGUUUGAUGUCGUUAUAUCAGUUAUAUAUAAAUUAAGAUUAUUUUCUUACCUGUUACCUAUUUUCUUACACGUUUUACUUUUCACGUAUUUUACACACAUUUGCCCAUGUGAAUAGCCACUUACUGCUUGACUGCCUGCUAUACAAAUGAAACCCAUAAAGUAGUACAUCUGUGUCCUGCACAUGCCCCCGAAUGCAGCAUUAUUCUCCCACCUCUCCGACGGAAACCUUAUCUUUACCACUGCUUGAGUCAGGGUUGCACAAGCUAAAAGGAAACCAAUUAUUGUCCGUCAGCUGUACGCCGUAUAUCUGUCAGUACUUUUACUAGGCGUUCAGGGUUCAAAUGUACUCCAUCAUCAUUUUUUACAAGGGCUGAUGAAUGCGCUGAUGUUAUUUAUAGGCAGCUGUUUUCCCUUCCAUCAGCACUGUCACCCCUCGCCUGUUUACUGCACCUCGUCGUUCACCUCUCUCCGGUGACGGGAAGCUGGGUUUAAAAAUAGGAAACAUUCCACUUUUCACUCUAAGCACUUGGGUUGUCAGUGUCUGUGGAUUAGUUUUGUGUGUCACGAAGCAGCCCGACAUUCUUAAAUGUGAUAUGUUGUACACGAAAGAUGAAUCAAGCUGUCAAUGUGUCACACCUGUUAGAGCCACAGUAAAGCAUUGUGAAGAGAUACAG